This 2904-nucleotide ribosomal RNA is filed under the name Escherichia coli 3-373-03_S4_C3. RNAcentral describes it as "bacterial LSU rRNA". It matches the Rfam family "Bacterial large subunit ribosomal RNA". Lineage: Bacteria; Pseudomonadati; Pseudomonadota; Gammaproteobacteria; Enterobacterales; Enterobacteriaceae. The record is from RNAcentral.
UUAAGCGACUAAGCGUACACGGUGGAUGCCCUGGCAGUCAGAGGCGAUGAAGGACGUGCUAAUCUGCGAUAAGCGUCGGUAAGGUGAUAUGAACCGUUAUAACCGGCGAUUUCCGAAUGGGGAAACCCAGUGUGUUUCGACACACUAUCAUUAACUGAAUCCAUAGGUUAAUGAGGCGAACCGGGGGAACUGAAACAUCUAAGUACCCCGAGGAAAAGAAAUCAACCGAGAUUCCCCCAGUAGCGGCGAGCGAACGGGGAGCAGCCCAGAGCCUGAAUCAGUGUGUGUGUUAGUGGAAGCGUCUGGAAAGGCGUGCGAUACAGGGUGACAGCCCCGUACACAAAAAUGCACAUGCUGUGAGCUCGAUGAGUAGGGCGGGACACGUGGUAUCCUGUCUGAAUAUGGGGGGACCAUCCUCCAAGGCUAAAUACUCCUGACUGACCGAUAGUGAACCAGUACCGUGAGGGAAAGGCGAAAAGAACCCCGGCGAGGGGAGUGAAAAAGAACCUGAAACCGUGUACGUACAAGCAGUGGGAGCACGCUUAGGCGUGUGACUGCGUACCUUUUGUAUAAUGGGUCAGCGACUUAUAUUCUGUAGCAAGGUUAACCGAAUAGGGGAGCCGAAGGGAAACCGAGUCUUAACUGGGCGUUAAGUUGCAGGGUAUAGACCCGAAACCCGGUGAUCUAGCCAUGGGCAGGUUGAAGGUUGGGUAACACUAACUGGAGGACCGAACCGACUAAUGUUGAAAAAUUAGCGGAUGACUUGUGGCUGGGGGUGAAAGGCCAAUCAAACCGGGAGAUAGCUGGUUCUCCCCGAAAGCUAUUUAGGUAGCGCCUCGUGAAUUCAUCUCCGGGGGUAGAGCACUGUUUCGGCAAGGGGGUCAUCCCGACUUACCAACCCGAUGCAAACUGCGAAUACCGGAGAAUGUUAUCACGGGAGACACACGGCGGGUGCUAACGUCCGUCGUGAAGAGGGAAACAACCCAGACCGCCAGCUAAGGUCCCAAAGUCAUGGUUAAGUGGGAAACGAUGUGGGAAGGCCCAGACAGCCAGGAUGUUGGCUUAGAAGCAGCCAUCAUUUAAAGAAAGCGUAAUAGCUCACUGGUCGAGUCGGCCUGCGCGGAAGAUGUAACGGGGCUAAACCAUGCACCGAAGCUGCGGCAGCGACGCUUAUGCGUUGUUGGGUAGGGGAGCGUUCUGUAAGCCUGCGAAGGUGUACUGUGAGGUAUGCUGGAGGUAUCAGAAGUGCGAAUGCUGACAUAAGUAACGAUAAAGCGGGUGAAAAGCCCGCUCGCCGGAAGACCAAGGGUUCCUGUCCAACGUUAAUCGGGGCAGGGUGAGUCGACCCCUAAGGCGAGGCCGAAAGGCGUAGUCGAUGGGAAACAGGUUAAUAUUCCUGUACUUGGUGUUACUGCGAAGGGGGGACGGAGAAGGCUAUGUUGGCCGGGCGACGGUUGUCCCGGUUUAAGCGUGUAGGCUGGUUUUCCAGGCAAAUCCGGAAAAUCAAGGCUGAGGCGUGAUGACGAGGCACUACGGUGCUGAAGCAACAAAUGCCCUGCUUCCAGGAAAAGCCUCUAAGCAUCAGGUAACAUCAAAUCGUACCCCAAACCGACACAGGUGGUCAGGUAGAGAAUACCAAGGCGCUUGAGAGAACUCGGGUGAAGGAACUAGGCAAAAUGGUGCCGUAACUUCGGGAGAAGGCACGCUGAUAUGUAGGUGAAGUCCCUCGCGGAUGGAGCUGAAAUCAGUCGAAGAUACCAGCUGGCUGCAACUGUUUAUUAAAAACACAGCACUGUGCAAACACGAAAGUGGACGUAUACGGUGUGACGCCUGCCCGGUGCCGGAAGGUUAAUUGAUGGGGUUAGCCGCAAGGCGAAGCUCUUGAUCGAAGCCCCGGUAAACGGCGGCCGUAACUAUAACGGUCCUAAGGUAGCGAAAUUCCUUGUCGGGUAAGUUCCGACCUGCACGAAUGGCGUAAUGAUGGCCAGGCUGUCUCCACCCGAGACUCAGUGAAAUUGAACUCGCUGUGAAGAUGCAGUGUACCCGCGGCAAGACGGAAAGACCCCGUGAACCUUUACUAUAGCUUGACACUGAACAUUGAGCCUUGAUGUGUAGGAUAGGUGGGAGGCUUUGAAGUGUGGACGCCAGUCUGCAUGGAGCCGACCUUGAAAUACCACCCUUUAAUGUUUGAUGUUCUAACGUUGACCCGUAAUCCGGGUUGCGGACAGUGUCUGGUGGGUAGUUUGACUGGGGCGGUCUCCUCCUAAAGAGUAACGGAGGAGCACGAAGGUUGGCUAAUCCUGGUCGGACAUCAGGAGGUUAGUGCAAUGGCAUAAGCCAGCUUGACUGCGAGCGUGACGGCGCGAGCAGGUGCGAAAGCAGGUCAUAGUGAUCCGGUGGUUCUGAAUGGAAGGGCCAUCGCUCAACGGAUAAAAGGUACUCCGGGGAUAACAGGCUGAUACCGCCCAAGAGUUCAUAUCGACGGCGGUGUUUGGCACCUCGAUGUCGGCUCAUCACAUCCUGGGGCUGAAGUAGGUCCCAAGGGUAUGGCUGUUCGCCAUUUAAAGUGGUACGCGAGCUGGGUUUAGAACGUCGUGAGACAGUUCGGUCCCUAUCUGCCGUGGGCGCUGGAGAACUGAGGGGGGCUGCUCCUAGUACGAGAGGACCGGAGUGGACGCAUCACUGGUGUUCGGGUUGUCAUGCCAAUGGCACUGCCCGGUAGCUAAAUGCGGAAGAGAUAAGUGCUGAAAGCAUCUAAGCACGAAACUUGCCCCGAGAUGAGUUCUCCCUGACUCCUUGAGAGUCCUGAAGGAACGUUGAAGACGACGACGUUGAUAGGCCGGGUGUGUAAGCGCAGCGAUGCGUUGAGCUAACCGGUACUAAUGAACCGUGAGGCUUAACCUU